CUUCCUCCUCAGAAAAGCCAGCUGAUCCAAAAGAAAGUCCAGUCUACUCUGAGGUGAAGACAGGGAAAGCCACAGCAGCUGGACCUGUUGAUGUGACCUAUGCUGAGGUUGACCUCCAAAAGAAGACCAAAGCCAAGAAGAAGAGAGAAACAACAACCCCAACAGAGGCAGAUUCAGUCUAUUCUCAACUGAAGCCAAGCACAACCCCAGGUAAGAUGCUAUUGAUACUUAUACGUAACCCUCUCACCACAGACUUGGACAGAUCAACAAGGGAAUCAUGGUGAAAAGGACAUCUCAGUGUAUAAACUUUUAUGAUUUUGACUCGCUAGUGGAAAAACAAGAGGUUAAGGAUAUUACUAAUCAAUAAAUAAAGGUUUAUAUUACUGUUUUCAGAAUGUUUUCCGAUGCAACAAAAUGAAUGACUCAUUGAAAAUACAAACACACACAGAAUGCAAUUUAACGUGAAUAUAUUUUUUAAUAAAACAUUAGCAGUUACACAAAUACCACACAA
Molecule: long non-coding RNA, 511 nt
Organism: Salvelinus sp. IW2-2015
Lineage: Eukaryota; Metazoa; Chordata; Actinopteri; Salmoniformes; Salmonidae
Source: RefSeq, a predicted model, not a curated record